ACAGGCUUAACACAUGCAAGUCGAGGGGAAACGACAUCGAAAGCUUGCUUUUGAUGGGCGUCGACCGGCGCACGGGUGAGUAACGCGUAUCCAACCUGCCCACCACUUGGGGAUAACCUUGCGAAAGUAAGACUAAUACCCAAUGAUAUCUCUAGAAGACAUCUGAAAGAGAUUAAAGAUUUAUCGGUGAUGGAUGGGGAUGCGUCUGAUUAGCUUGUUGGCGGGGUAACGGCCCACCAAGGCGACGAUCAGUAGGGGUUCUGAGAGGAAGGUCCCCCACAUUGGAACUGAGACACGGUCCAAACUCCUACGGGAGGCAGCAGUGAGGAAUAUUGGUCAAUGGGCGAGAGCCUGAACCAGCCAAGUAGCGUGCAGGAUGACGGCCCUAUGGGUUGUAAACUGCUUUUAUAAGGGAAUAAAGUGAGUCUCGUGAGACUUUUUGCAUGUACCUUAUGAAUAAGGACCGGCUAAUUCCGUGCCAGCAGCCGCGGUAAUACGGAAGGUCCGGGCGUUAUCCGGAUUUAUUGGGUUUAAAGGGAGCGUAGGCCGGAGAUUAAGCGUGUUGUGAAAUGUAGAUGCUCAACAUCUGAACUGCAGCGCGAACUGGUUUCCUUGAGUACGCACAAAGUGGGCGGAAUUCGUGGUGUAGCGGUGAAAUGCUUAGAUAUCACGAAGAACUCCGAUUGCGAAGGCAGCUCACUGGAGCGCAACUGACGCUGAAGCUCGAAAGUGCGGGUAUCGAACAGGAUUAGAUACCCUGGUAGUCCGCACGGUAAACGAUGGAUGCCCGCUGUUGGUCUGAAUAGGUCAGCGGCCAAGCGAAAGCAUUAAGCAUCCCACCUGGGGAGUACGCCGGCAACGGUGAAACUCAAAGGAAUU
RNAcentral lists this ribosomal RNA (879 nucleotides) under uncultured bacterium. RNAcentral's name for it is "bacterial SSU rRNA". It matches the Rfam family "Bacterial small subunit ribosomal RNA", at positions 42 to 911 of the family's 1533-position model. The record is from RNAcentral.